GUGACAGCUGUCACACUGACAGCUACUGUCGCAAGUUAAAUUUAAAGGUUUUUAUUGGGUUUCCUGUUUAUUCUACAUUGUUCUGAAUGCAAACUUAAUGAACAAGAUGCUCCAUUGCUUCCUUCUUCUAUUUCCUUGGAUGGAAAACCUUUUUCUGAACUUCACAAUUCACUUCGGGCAAAAAGCGUACAACAGAAACUGCAGCUAAGUGAAGAAAGCAGAAAGCAGUGAAGAAAGCAGAAAGUCGAAAGCAUUCUUUACUAGCAGUUUUCAUUUGCAAAUAGUGGAAACCGUAACUGCAGAAAGUGACCAAAAAUAUUACUUCAUUAUGAAGAUGGAUAACAACUAUGAACCCUGUUGAUUCUAUUGUUGCUUCCUACAUGAUCUUUAGAGACUGCAUUGAAAAUACUGGAAAAACAAAAAUAUUAAUCUUCAUCAAAUCCCCAGGAAGACACAAAGACAUAUAAGAAUAGCUAUCAAUCAAUAUUUACAUUCAUUUUAAUCUAUGUAUGUUUUAGAUCAACAUUCAUGUUCAAUAUUCUUCUAGAAGCAAAUGCUUACGAAAAUACAGGCCAUUUUUUAAGACGUUAUUUUCCCUAA
Nicrophorus vespilloides is the source of this 600-nucleotide long non-coding RNA. RefSeq lists it as uncharacterized. NCBI's taxonomy places the organism in Eukaryota, Metazoa, Arthropoda, Insecta, Coleoptera, Silphidae. The record is from RefSeq and is a predicted model, not a curated record. The transcript has 3 exons.